Molecule: ribosomal RNA, 470 nt
Filed under: uncultured Bacteroidota bacterium
Lineage: Bacteria; Pseudomonadati; Bacteroidota
Description: bacterial SSU rRNA
Rfam family: Bacterial small subunit ribosomal RNA
Source: RNAcentral
GACGGGGGCCCGGCACAAGCGGAGGAGCAUGUGGUUUAAUUUCGAUGAUACGCGAGGAACCUUACCUGGGCUUAAAUGCUUAAUGACGUACUGGGAAACUGGCAUUUCUUCGGACAUUUUGCAAGGUGCUGCAUGGUUGUCGUCAGCUCGUGCCGUGAGGUGUCGGGUUAAGUCCCAUAACGAGCGCAACCCCUAUUGUUAGUUGCCAUCAGGUCAUGCUGGGGACUCUAACAAAACUGCCCGCGUAAGCGUGGAGGAAGGUGGGGAUGACGUCAAAUCAGCACGGCCCUUACGUCCAGGGCUACACACGUGCUACAAUGGCCGGUACAGAGGGCAGCCACUUGGUGACAAGGAGCAAAUCUCAAAAGCCGGUCUCAGUUCGGAUCGGAGUCUGCAACUCGACUCCGUGAAGUUGGAUUCGCUAGUAAUCGUAGAUCAGCAAUGCUACGGUGAAUACGUUCCCGGGCCUC